AAAAAAGACAUACUCUGGUUUUCGUGUCCAACAUUUGACCGUCCGUUUUAUUUGAAAAAGUUAUGAACAAAAUUAAAAAGAUAAGUCACGCAUAAAGUAUUAAUCAUGUUUUAUCAUCUAACAACAAUGAAAAUACUAAUUAUAAAAAAAUUUCAUAUAAGACGGACAGUCAAACGUUGGCACGGGAACCCACGGUUUGCCUUUUU
Molecule: microRNA precursor, 206 nt
Filed under: Oryza glumipatula
Lineage: Eukaryota; Viridiplantae; Streptophyta; Magnoliopsida; Poales; Poaceae
Description: MIR812 microRNA precursor family
Rfam family: MIR812 microRNA precursor family
Source: Rfam by way of RNAcentral